UUUCUCCAAUAGCGUAUAUUAAAGUUGUUGUGGUUAAAAAGCUCGUAGUUGAACCUUGGGCCUGGCCGUCCGGUCCGCCUCACCGCGUGUACUGGCUCGGCCGGGCCUUUCCCUCUGUGGAACCCCAUGCCCUUCACUGGGCGUGGCGGGGAAACAGGACUUUUACUGUGAAAAAAUUAGAGUGCUCCAGGCAGGCCUAUGCUCGAAUACAUUAGCAUGGAAUAAUAGAAUAGGACGUGUGGUUCUAUUUUGUUGGUUUCUAGGACCGCCGUAAUGAUUAAUAGGGACAGUCGGGGGCAUCAGUAUUCAAUUGUCAGAGGUGAAAUUCUUGGAUUUAUUGAAGACUAACUACUGCGAAAGCAUUUGCCAAGGAUGUUUUCAUUAAUCAGGAACGAAAGUUAGGGGAUCGAAGACGAUCAGAUACCGUCGUAGUCUUAACCAUAAACUAUGCCGACUAGGGAUCGGACGGUGUUAUUUUUUGACCCGUUCGGCACCUUACGAGAAAUCAAAGUGCUUGGGCUCCAGGGGGAGUAUGGUCGCAAGGCUGAAACUUAAAGAAAUUGACGGAAGGGCACCACCAGGGGUGGAGCCUGCGGCUUAAUUUGACUCAACACGGGGAAACUCACCAGGUCCAGACACAAUGAGGAUUGACAGAUUGAGAGCUCUUUCUUGAUUUUGUGGGUGGUGGUGCAUGGCCGUUCUUAGUUGGUGGAGUGAUUUGUCUGCUUAAUUGCGAUAACGAACGAGACCUUAACCUGCUAAAUAGCCCGUAUUGCUUUGGCAGUACGCUGGCUUCUUAGAGGGACUAUCGGCUCAAGCCGAUGACGUUGCAGCAAUAACACGUCAGAGAUC
RNAcentral lists this ribosomal RNA (852 nucleotides) under Colletotrichum truncatum. RNAcentral describes it as "SSU rRNA". It matches the Rfam family "Eukaryotic small subunit ribosomal RNA", at positions 586 to 1469 of the family's 1831-position model. Lineage: Eukaryota; Fungi; Ascomycota; Sordariomycetes; Glomerellales; Glomerellaceae. The record is from RNAcentral.